RNAcentral lists this ribosomal RNA (378 nucleotides) under uncultured bacterium. RNAcentral describes it as "bacterial SSU rRNA". It matches the Rfam family "Bacterial small subunit ribosomal RNA", at positions 523 to 898 of the family's 1533-position model. The record is from RNAcentral.
AUACGGAGGGUGCAAGCGUUGUCCGGAAUUAUUGGGUGUAAAGGGUGUGCAGGCGGGGCGGUAAGUCAGGGGUGAAAGUCUACGGCUCAACCGUAGGAUGGCCUUUGAUACUGUCGUCCUUGAGUCCCGGAGAGGCCAUUAGAAUUCGUGGUGUAGCGGUGAAAUGCGUAGAUAUCACGAGGAAUACCGGAAGCGUAGGCGGAUGGCUGGACGGCGACUGACGCUCAGGCACGAAAGCGUGGGGAGCGAACAGGAUUAGAUACCCUGGUAGUCCACGCUGUAAACGAUGGAUGCUCGGUGUUCGACUACGUUAGCGGGUUGAGUGCCCAAGUUAACGCGAUAAGCAUCCCACCUGGGGAGUACGCUCGCAAGAGUGAA